AGAGUUUGAUCCUGGCUCAGAUUGAACGCUGGCGGAAUGCUUUACACAUGCAAGUCGAGCGGCAGCGCGGGGGCAACCCUGGCGGCGAGCGGCGAACGGGUGAGUAACAUAUCGGAACGUACCCCGUCGUGGGGGAUAACACAGCGAAAGCUGUGCUAAUACCGCAUACGACCUGAGGGUGAAAGGCGGGGGAUCGCAAGACCUCGCGCGAUGGGAGCGGCCGAUAUCGGAUUAGCUUGUUGGUGAGGUAAAGGCUCACCAAGGCGACGAUCCGUAGCUGGUCUGAGAGGACGACCAGCCACACUGGAACUGAGACACGGUCCAGACUCCUACGGGAGGCAGCAGGUGGGGUAAUUUUGGACAAUGGGGGCAACCCUGAUCCAGCCAUUCCGCGUGAGUGAAGAAGGCCUUCGGGUUGUAAAGCUCUUUCAGGUGGAAAGAAAUCACUACCCCGAAUACGGGUGGUGGAUGACGGUACCAUCAGAAGAAGCACCGGCUAACUACGUG
Molecule: ribosomal RNA, 507 nt
Filed under: uncultured bacterium
Lineage: Bacteria
Description: bacterial SSU rRNA
Rfam family: Bacterial small subunit ribosomal RNA
Source: RNAcentral